CCAUCGAUCUCAGCGCAUCCAACAGACGAGGCCACCAGUUGCGCAUCUCGGCGAAGCGGCAGCGCGGCACGUAGGCGUACUUCUCGCGUACUUUCCGUUGAGGGAAACGCCACUCCAUCGCUCUUUGUCUUUUUCGCCGGCGCGUGCGGGCGUGCUUGUGUGGUGAUAGCGGUGACUGCUGACCGAGAAAGCCUCUUGCACCACUGCCUGUGCCUGCGUGCGCAGCAUCGAUCGCCAUCUGCUCCUUCCUCACCGCGGAACUCAUCCCAUCAGCUGUACACGUGCACCGAGAACGGCAAAUGGAGCUUGCUCUUGGCCACGCAGAGUCGCUGGCGAGCGCACCACUGCAUGCACCGCCACGCACACUCUGCAUUGUCCUUCUGCACCACGGCUAUCGCUCCAAAGCCAGUGACUUUCGGUACUUGUGCCGGGUGUGCAAGCAGGCGCUAAAGGACCUCAAGACGAACGCAACGAAAGCCAAUGACGGGGCGCCGCCUCUGCCUACGCCGCGCUUCGUAUUCAUCCUUCCUCGCGACAACGACGGCCUUAAAAUGGAUGCCGGUGUGCUUGCCUGCGCGCGUCGCUACGUCCGCCAGGUCUGCCUUACUGUGUAUGCAAUUGUGGCCGAGGAGCUUGGCAUCAGUGAUGAGCAGAGCUGUGUCGCCGCCAAGGCGACUGGUGCCACUGCAGACAGCGCAACAACGGCGGUGAAGCACAAGCUGUGCUUCAGCGCUGUGGGUCACUCGAUGGGCGGCCUCAUCCUGCGCGCCGCGCUCCCCGAGCUGAUAAAGAAUAUCGAGGAAAAAUACGAGGCGUUCAAGGAGGUGUGCGAGGUGCACUGGGACGUCUUCUGCACCUUGGCGACGCCUCACCUCGGCCUGAGGUAUAUGCAUUCUAAAAGGACAGCAUUCCUGGGCCGGCACGUCGGGUGUCAUCUGUGGAGGGCAAUGGCGGAUCUGUUCUGCAGGAACAGCGUCGUGGGAGUGGACCUUGUUUCGGACGCCUGCCUGGCGGCCUGGUCUCGGUUCAAGCGGCGCGUGCUGGUGAACGUUGUCAACGAUGACACCGUUCUGGCCUACAGCAGCAGCUUCGUGACGACCUUGCGCGUUUUGAGGCGUGUCGGCGCGUCGCUUCCUUCAACGGAUGAGGAGCUCGCAGAUGCGCGCUCUACAAAAAAGAAGAACGACUACCUGCACUCUGACAGCUGUGUUCUUCAACUCGCCCGCCUUGGCGUCAAGUGCGCGUCGUCGAGAAAGGAGCUGUGCGACAACGGUGUGAUUUUCACAAAUCUAUCUCCUGAGCUGUGGCCGCUCGAUGUGCUCGUGGAGGAACGCGCGCUGGCGGAGCGCAUCUUGAUGCAUGUGGCGCCGCUGGAGCUGCAUCUCGUCGACUUCCGCCCACGGUGCGCUCGUCUUACGUCGGCGGCUGCCUCUCGUGGGACGGGCGGCGGUAAUGCGGCACGCAGGCCUGGUCUCCUGGCGAGGGAGAUGAUGAUAAUAGGGGCGACCCACUCUUGCCACAUGGCCUUGGUGUGUAAGAAGCCCUUCCGAUACCCCUCCGUCUUUGGGUUCGUUUCGGAGUACAUUGCCAAGGACUUGCUUUUGGCCCCGCUUGGGGGCUCUGAGUUUGUGUCGCUUCCGCAGGAUGGGCUCUUACAGUAUGGUGCGGCUUGCAACGGUUGCGUCGCGGAGGUCAGCGGCCACAGGGGCAUGCUGGAUGCCGCUGAGGUCUGUGCGGCGCCUGCACGUUCGGCUAACGCGUGAGGAGGCCGUCCUCACGGCUUCAUGCAUCUCGCGCCUUGGCGUGUUUCUCUCCGUGUGUGCAACACCUUGACGCUCCUUGGCGGGGAACGUCGGUGAGCCCUUUUCAUUAUCAGGGACACGGUGCCGGCGCUCCAGUACCUUGCACACUAAAGCACCGUUCUUUUCUCUUUUUUUUUGCCUGCCUUUCGUUCUUUCCUGUUUCUUCUCUUGCGCCCUCUAUCUACGCUGUCCAGCUCUUCAGAAAGGGUUGCCUUCGCCUGGUUUCUCUGUUUUCUUUCCUUCCCAUCCCAUGCGCACACACCACCACUACCGGCAGCCUCAGACGAUGCCGGUGGCGGUGGUGGUGGUGGUGUGUGCGCAUGGAGUCUCAAUUCGAAGCAAAAAAUGGGCUUGAAACAUCAAAACGCGACAACAAGACGACAUCAAAAAACGAAAGACGCAACAGCAACAAC
RNAcentral lists this unclassified non-coding RNA (2215 nucleotides) under Leishmania donovani. RNAcentral describes it as "gene:LdHU3.28.3560(CDS-product:Putative_serine_es terase_(DUF676)_putative)". Lineage: Eukaryota; Euglenozoa; Kinetoplastea; Trypanosomatida; Trypanosomatidae. The record is from RNAcentral.